RNAcentral lists this long non-coding RNA (361 nucleotides) under Rattus norvegicus (Norway rat). RNAcentral describes it as "long non-coding RNA NONRATT028471". The record is from RNAcentral. Lineage: Eukaryota; Metazoa; Chordata; Mammalia; Rodentia; Muridae.
AGCAGGUCCUGCAGCCGGAGUGAAGUGCGGGCUCCGGCCCCAUGUGCCUUCAGUCACGACCCGCCCAGGUCGCCGGCUUCUGCAGACUCCAGGGGACCGCAGCGGCAGUGCCGCGCUUGCGCCCUGAGCGGAGCCAUGUCCGGUAACGGCGGCGCGGCCACAACCGCGGAAGAAAACGGCUCAAUGAUGAGGGUGAUUCGAGUGGGCACCCGGAAGAGUCAGGUGAGUACAGACCUAGUUGCCUCAAGAAUUCUAAUACUCACAAGGUCACUAGUGGGGACCCAGAGUUCCUAACAUGGAGCAAAUAAGGAUGUACAGGAGUCAAUUUCAUGAGGAAUGGCAGCUUCCUUCCUCUGGAAAG